Molecule: long non-coding RNA, 1909 nt
Organism: Brassica rapa (field mustard)
Lineage: Eukaryota; Viridiplantae; Streptophyta; Magnoliopsida; Brassicales; Brassicaceae
Source: RefSeq, a predicted model, not a curated record
CUAACUCAUUCCAUUCAAUCAUCUUCUAAGUUUCAUCUUCUUCCAUUUCCGUUACCCAUCCCCCUCUGUAAUUAAUCGUUUCCUUUCACCUCCCUCUCUUCAUUUUUUUAUAAACUCUUUCUUCUUAGCUUACUACAAAUCUAAGCUCGAAAACCUCCUCUCAGUAAACUUAAGCCAUGGCAAUGAAACCCAACUGAAAGUCACCUGUUUUAACCGGAAAUUCUCAUGUUGCUUUGUAUUCCACAUCCCACCACGUCCAUCUCGAUCCGAAUUACAAUUUCGACUCAUACAUUUCUAUGAGUAAAAAAAACACAGCAAAAGGAGGGACCUUUAUUGGACUGGAGAUGCUCAUUAUUGACGACACAGGACAAGUUGAUUCAGUGUUAUUGAUGACGUUCUUUACUCCAUCAACCAACUCCAAUCAAAGAUUCUUCAUUCAAUUAAUCUUCUACACGAAGCAGUGGAAAUCCAGCUAUAAAAAGAUUCUUCAUUCAAUUAAUCUUUAACUCAAUGACGUUCUUUACUCCAUCAUCCUCCCAAAAACGUUUUCAGAAGAAAACUUGAGUUUAGAUUUUUUUUUCUUUAUUAAUUAAUUUAGAAAGCUUGAGUUUAGAUGAUUUUUAUUUCGUUUAUUGAUUUAGUAAGCUUGAGUUUAGAUCAUGUUAGAUGAUUUUGGUUUUGUUUAAUGAUUUUGUUUUCGUUUGUUGGUACGACGUGGUAGGGAGCAGAGUUAGAUGAUAUUCAGCAGAUGAGGAACACUCAUGAUUAUUUCAUUAAGUUUGUUGGAAGCAUGGCAUCGACUUUUUGGACACAAAGACGUAGCGUGCAGUUCAACUGAUACUCUCAAGUGGUGUGCAUAACCAUUCAUGGAGGCAUCAACUUUAGAGGAGACAUGAAUAAAAUUUUCUACGGCUACAGUCUCUAAGCGCUCAAAAGCCUUGGCAUCAUUAACUGGCGAUAUUCCUCUAGCUUAUGAUGAUCAAUUCGAGAAACCUGUGUGGUCUUGGAAAGGUAUUUUGGUUAAUAUACCAACAAAGAUGAGACAUGAUGGUUUGUGUUGUACUGGGGAGAGCGGACCACAGCUUAAGGAUGAAUUGAUCAGAAGAGGAUUCAACCUAUUAGAGUUCGUACCGUGUGGGACUGUUUCGGUCAUUCAGGAACCGGGAUAGUUGAGUUUAACAGAGACUGGAAUGGACUUAACGAUGCUUUGCUGUCCAAGAAGGCUUAUCAAGAAGAUGGUCAUGGUAAAAAAGAUUGGCUGAGUGGUGGUGGUGCUGCUGACUCUAGCCUUUACGCAUGGCUUGCCAAUACUGAUGAUUAUUAUAGGGCUGCUAACUAUAUAGGAGAGUACUUGGGGAAGAUGGGUGACCUCAAAAGUAUUUCUAGGUUUGCAGAAGAAGAGGCUAGGAAAGAUCAUAAGCUUGUGGUGCGUCUGAACGUAAUCUCUGAGAACAUACAGAGCCGGUUGAGGAUGCUAGAGGAAAAAUUCUCAAAGACUUCGAUUAAACUUAAAUGUGAGACUGAAGAAAAAUAUAAGAUUCUCCACGGUUACAAUCAAGGUGGGCUUAACCCUAUAGCUAUGUAGUAGAUAUGUGUAUUGCUUUUGCUUAUAUUCAUGUUACAUUUUUUAUUUUUGCAUCUGAAGAUCUCACGGGAAGACAACAAAGAUCGACUGCUCAUUUCAAUAUAAUCUUUGCUGAUCUUGGAAAAUUUUCUUCUUUUCUCUUACCAAAUUUAACUUGAGAGAAAUUAUAUAAAAUAUACUGAAAAUCGUAAUAAAUUAUUAAUAUAUAAUCAAAACAUAAUUUUAAGCAUAAUAAAUAUGAAAACAAAAACAUACAAAAAAUGAAAAUUUAGUUAAAUUAGGUUGAAUUUAAAUAAAUUUUAGUCAUCAUCUAAAUUAAUUGAA